UUGAGCUUUUGUGAGGUGUGAAUUUUGACUCUCCUUGCUGGCUUGUUGUUGUGCUGUUUCCUGUUGUGUUUCUGUCCCUACCCAGAUGCAGCCUAACGCCAGUCACCUGUGCCAUGAGGUACACCUGGGCCCUUUCCUUAUGAAGUCACUACCUCCCCUGGUGUGAAAGCACAGAGACGGAGGCUGCGGUCGGAUAGUCAAAAAAGAAAAACAUUACGUUGUAAAGAUAGAGAAAGGAAGCACUGAAACACCUUUCCUCAGCAUGUAGAGAAUUGGACCAGCUCUCGUCAUGGCUGCCUCUUAGAUACUUCAGGCUUAUUUCAGUCAGUUAGGAACCUUUUUAAACAAAAAAUACUUACAGGCCACACACACACACACACACACACACACACACAAAAACAGCUUUAGAUGCAACACAUAAAAUGUAGCUUGUAGUUUUGGAAAAAUUCUGCAUCCUCAUCAGACAGCUUCCACCCCUGGCCAAUCAGCACACACGCACACACACAUCAACCCAUGGGACAUACACGGAAGACAGACAAACGCACACACACACACACACACACACACACAUCAACCCAUGAGACAUACACAUAAGAUAGACAAACACAGAGGUCUACUUCCAGAGGCUGUCAAGGACGGAGACUCCUUCUGAGCAUUCGGAGAACAAAUAACGGAACAGCCUCGCUAGUGUGCAGGUGUGAACAGCCUCGCUAGUGUGCAGGUGUGAACAGCCUCUCUAGUGUGCAGAUGGGAACAGCCUCUCUACCUCGCUAGUGUGCAGGUGUGAACAGCCUCGCUAGUGUGCAGGUGUAAAUGGAGUUAUAUGGAUAUACUAGAGACAUAUAGUUUGUCUGAGUCAUAUAGUUAUAUAUCUCUGCAGUAGGUGGCUGUGAGUUAUAUGGAUAUAGAUACAUAUGAUAUGUCUGUCUGAGUCAUAUAGAGUUAUAUAUCUCUGGCAGUAGGGACUACUUGCAGCCCAGCAGGAGCCCAGGACAGGUCGACAGCCAGGAGGCAGCUGCCUUUGUGGACGAGAAGAGGGCAGAGCUCAUCAGCAGGGUGACAGAGGUGAUGCUCAUAGCCGACAAGCUCCUCUCUGAGUUCCUCCCUGAGCUCCUCUCCGAGCUCCUCUCCAUCGUUCCGGAGACCUCCUCUAACAUCCAAGCUUCUGGGCUGCAGUACCAUGGCUAGUCAGCGGGGGAUGACAAUGAGCUGGUACUGGUGAUGGACGUUGGCAAAGAUGCUGAGCUCUGGGGUGUUAUUGCUGAAUGGUCCUCCAGAGUUGCAGAGCUCUGGGGUGUUAUUGCUGGAUGGUCCUCCAGGGGUGCAGAGCUCUGGGGUGUUAUUGCUGGAUGGUCCCUUAGGGGUGCAGAGCUCUGGGGUGUUAUUGCUGGAUGGUCCUCCAGGGGUGCUGAGCUCUGGGGUGUUAAUGCUGGAUGGUCCUCCAGGGGUGCUGAGCUCUGGGGUGUUAUUGCUGGAUGGUCCUCCAGGGGUGCUGAGGUGGAACUGCUGCACUAUGGACACCAGGAAGAGCAGGAGCUCCAUCCACACCAGUGAUUCACCCACACACGCCUGCUUACCUGGCACACACACAAACACACACGCACACACACACACCCACAAACAUUUGGUGUAUGAUUCAUCAUACAUAGACUUAGAAUGAGAAAAAAAACAAAUGGAGCUUAUUUGUAUUGUACAAUUAAACAUUGAACAAUGUAAAAUAAACUAUAACUUGUAAACUUCCAGGGAGUUAAUUUCCCCAGGUUAUUAAACAGCAUUUCUCUUUGUUUUAGGGCAGACUAGUAGGAUCUCAGUUUUGUCCUUGUUUAACUUAAGAAAUGAUUGCUCUUCCACUUAUUUCUCGCCAAAAGACCGGUAGUAAUAGAGUUUAUAGCUGCAGCAAAAUUUGGUUCAGCAGAGAUGUAUAGUUGCUUGUCAUCCGCAUAACUAUGGAAACAUAUAUUGUGUUCUCUAAUGAUGUCCCGAAGUGGCAGCAUGUAUAGUGAGAAUAAUAAUGGACCAAGGCAGCUCCUGUCACGGAACUGACGGACACAGAGAUGUAGUUUUCGGAAACAGAGUUUAUUGCGGACGAACAGCCAGGGAACAAACACGACAGACCAACAGGUUGCAGGGAACACAGACGAUGAGGAACAGAUCCUCACACGUAGAUACACGUGGUGGACAAACCCACGGAGGGGCACAGGCUCGAAGCACAGGCUCAUGAAACAGGCACGGAAGGCGCAGAAAGGGAAUGACAGAGUCCAACUCUCUAAACUAUCUAAACCAAACGCCGUAGCGUAAAACAAAACACUCGAGUCAAACUCGACAAGACUAUGAACUAAACUAUACCUAAGGCUAUGAAACAAACAAAGGUUAACUCGGAUACGAACAGCGAUGAUACUCAUCAAACAUCAGGAACUGGAAGGUAAUCCUUGUAGUGCGAGACCAGACACAGAGUGAAGGGAGUGCGAGGUAUAUGUAGGGAAGUGACAGGUGUGGGUGAUCAGUAUUCAGGUGAGUGUGAACGCGUUUAUUUGGACUGAAACUAUCUUUUCAAGUAUUUUACUAAUGAAUGGAAGAUUGGAUAUCGGCCUAUAGCUGGUCAGUACAUUACCAUGUAGGUUGGGUUGCUUUAGUAAGGGUUUUACAACAGCUGUUUUGAAGGCAUCUGGGAAGAUGCCUGUUCGAAGAGAUGUAUUUAUAAUCCCAUUCCCAUCAUUUUAGUUUUGUAUUGAGAAUAUUCAGUUUACAGUAUGGUAGUGGGCAUUUUUUUUGAUAAUGUGACUCCUUA
Clupea harengus (Atlantic herring) is the source of this 2788-nucleotide long non-coding RNA. The record is from Ensembl. NCBI's taxonomy places the organism in Eukaryota, Metazoa, Chordata, Actinopteri, Clupeiformes, Clupeidae.